UACAGAGGUCCCAAGCGUUGUUCGGAUUCACUGGGCGUAAAGGGUGCGUAGGUGGUUGGGAAAGUUUGAUGUGAAAGCUCGGAGCUUAACUCCGAAAUGGCAUUGAAUACUUCUUAACUUGAGGGUCGGAGGGGAGACUGGAAUUCUCGGUGUAGCAGUGAAAUGCGUAGAUAUCGAGAGGAACACCAGUGGCGAAGGCGAGUCUCUGGACGACUCCUGACACUGAGGCACGGAAAGCUAAGGGGAGCAAACAGG
Molecule: ribosomal RNA, 255 nt
Filed under: uncultured bacterium
Lineage: Bacteria
Description: partial 16S ribosomal RNA
Rfam family: Bacterial small subunit ribosomal RNA
Source: RNAcentral